Molecule: ribosomal RNA, 253 nt
Filed under: uncultured bacterium
Lineage: Bacteria
Description: partial 16S ribosomal RNA
Rfam family: Bacterial small subunit ribosomal RNA
Source: RNAcentral
GACAGAGGGUGCAAACGUUGUUCGGAAUUACUGGGCGUAAAGCGCGUGUAGGCGGCCGUGCAAGUCGGAUGUGAAAGCCCUGGGCUCAACCUAGGAAGUGCACUCGAAACUGCAUGGCUGGAGUUCUGGAGAGGAAGGCGGAAUUCUCGGUGUAGAGGUGAAAUUCGUAGAUAUCGAGAGGAACACCGGUGGCGAAGGCGGCCUUCUGGACAGUGACUGACGCUGAGACGCGAAAGCGUGGGUAGCAAACAGG